UGCCUUCAACAAGGUCCUGGCAGCUUCCCUGCCAGGAAUAAGCUACAUGGUCAGGAAAUGGAGCUUCUGGUGUGGUUUAUUGCUGGAGGGCAUGUUGUAUGUGUCCCUCUGCAUGGACAAACACUGGCAGGCACAGAAAUUUGCUGCAGAGAAGAGUUGUGCUUUGGUUGCUACCUCUUCCAAGUCACCCUUCUGCCCCAGCAACAGCCACUGUGUCACAGGGGGUGCAGGUGGGAAUGUUGUUCCAGUGCUGGCACUGAUUUAGGCAUGAUAGAAAGGAAACAAUCUCAGAGCCCACAGACAUCCUCAGCCUGGAAGAGCCUGGAACAGCGAGAAGGGAGGUGGAUGUAGAGAGGCUUUGCCUGCACAGGCCCUACCAAGGAAGCCACAGCAAGCACUCUGCUCCUCAAGAGCUUCUCCACCCAGAUCCCUCCCUCAGAACCUCUGGCAGGUGAUCCAGGGCAGUCAGCACCCAUCUCAGUGAGGACAGCAAGGCAGUGCCACGAGAGACUAAUCCAACCAAGCAACAAGCAUGAGGCGAAAUUUAAGAGAAUUUGCCUGGGUGUUCCAGGAGGCAUCUGAGCUCCGGCAGGAUCUGUGUCCAGAGAGGAUGGAGAACAGCAGGCUGGAUCCAAAAUAAUUUAAAAACAGGGCUGAGGUGCAGCAGCCUACAAACAGUGCUCUCAGGAGUGAAGAAUUUCUCCUGUUCUGGAAUGGAAAGACAUCAGGGUCCUCCAAGGACAAGUCCUCUUCCAAGAACACUCUCCUGAAUGUAUCAGAUUUGUUUUGGUUUCUAGAAGGAUGUUGGAAGUUAUGAAGGUGAACAACUACAAUCAACAAGCAGCCUCUCAGCCAGCCAGUGUAAAUGCUCCAAGUCCUUAUGGAGGGCUCAGGAGCACUGAACUUGGAAGAGGCUGGAGGGACUCCAGUGUGCCACAGGCCCAUGCCAGAUCCAGAACACCUUCCAUUGUAAUCACAGUUUUGAAGAAGUGACAGUAAAGGCAGAAGUCAGCCCUUCACUGAGAAAAAUGCCUGAUGUUGUAAGAACAGGACCUCCCCUGGAUGAACAUCUCCCCUCCAAAGCAGGGGAGAGGGAUGGGCAGCUCUGGGAACCUGGAAGUUCAAGACUUCUACACCUUGAAGGAAUGAGUAUGUCCUUUACCUUCCUUGGUGACCAGUUAGCAGGGGAGCAACAAGAACUGCUACAAGAAUGACAUGCUUGGGAUAGACAACCUCAGGAAUCAGCAGCAGCACCUGCAGCUCGGUCCCGCACCCGAAGAGAUGCACAUAGUCAGCUUCCCAAAGAAAUCCCUCCAUGGAGCAACUCCCAGCAUGUAUCACCACAGCAAGGUUUCUCCCCAAAGCAUGAGUAGAGAGGGAUGUGGCCAAACCCGAGGGAAUGAUGUGUUUUCCACAGCAUCACCUCCUGCUCUGCUGCCACCGACCCAGCUCGCGCCGCACUCACCGAGCACGGAGCUGCUGUAGAAAUCCCAGGCUGUCCGAGGGUCUCCGUCACUGCGGCCCUGCAGAUCUGACAGGUAAUCUAGACAGAGAAAAGCCAGAUAGUUAAUGGCUUGAAGCAUCAUCUUGCUGUACAUAACCACAGAUCUGGGGAGAGCUGCUUCACCCCUGCUGCUUUUCCCACUUGGGCAUUAUGGCAAAAGCUGUACCACAGCUGCAGGAAGGGUGUCGCUGCUCAGGAGUGGGCAUCACCCCAGGCCCCCAACAGAAAAUGGGAGCUGAAAAGGGAAAAAAACCACACAGUGUGAAGUGGCUUGUAAAAGAAAGAUUUGUAGAACAGUCCUGAGCUCCAAACCACCAUCCCCAAAACCUGUGUGAGGAGUUGACCCUAGAGGAGCUCACACAGCAGUGGGAAAAGAGUUUUUUUUCAACACUGGGGAUUUUCUGUCUUGUCUCUGUCUGGGAGCCACCUCUGGCUGUCCCUUCCUUGCUGUUGUGGAGAAGCCACAACACUCAUCUUGGCAUGUGCACAAAUCUCCUUGCACACUGAAAACUGAAAAGUGACUUUUAUCUUAUACAGGAAACACAUACAAUUUCUAUAAUUAAAGUUUGGGUUCUAAAAACACGCUUGUGUGACAGGACAGAACUAAAGACUAAGACAUUUUCUGCUCAGGCCCUUUCACACCCAGAUUUGGCCCUGUAUGCUGCCAGAGGGGAAGGUCUGGAACACUGUGACCCCAGGCCUGGCACCUACCACAGAGGAAGCGCUUCAUCACAUCGCUGGUGGCCAACUUCACUGCUGUCUGCCCAGAGUAUGUGGCCAGAGUGGGAUCAGCACCAUAGGAAAGGAGAAGCCACAUGGU
Molecule: long non-coding RNA, 2324 nt
Organism: Passer domesticus (house sparrow)
Lineage: Eukaryota; Metazoa; Chordata; Aves; Passeriformes; Passeridae
Exons: 4
Source: RefSeq, a predicted model, not a curated record